RNAcentral lists this ribosomal RNA (253 nucleotides) under uncultured bacterium. Its description in RNAcentral is "partial 16S ribosomal RNA". It matches the Rfam family "Bacterial small subunit ribosomal RNA", at positions 524 to 776 of the family's 1533-position model. The record is from RNAcentral.
UACGUAGGUGGCAAGCGUUGUCCGGAAUUAUUGGGCGUAAAGCGCGCGCAGGCGGUCCUUUAAGUCUGAUGUGAAAGCCCACGGCUCAACCGUGGAGGGUCAUUGGAAACUGGGGGACUUGAGUGCAGGAGAGAAGAGUGGAAUUCCACGUGUAGCGGUGAAAUGCGUAGAGAUGUGGAGGAACACCAGUGGCGAAGGCGACUCUUUGGCCUGUAACUGGCGCUGAGGCGCGAAAGCGUGGGGAGCAAACAGG